CACACCCCAUCUCCCAAAACAGAAUCUGACACACCGGUGACCGCCCGUCUCCUUCCCUGGGCGAGAAUGGAGUCUCCUCGGGUCGACAGGUCGGAGUCGGAGUCGGCGCCGCGGUCGCGCAGACCCAGCGCGGCGGAGAACAACCCUUCGCCCACCUCCUCCUCCGCUGCCUCUAGUGCCGGAGAUGCAGACGGCCGCGCCGCCGCCGACGACCACGAAGCGGUGGCUGACCGGCGUCUCGUCAGUAGCAGCAGGUUCGGCCACCUUGCCCUCCGCUGGUUCAGGGUCAUGAAGAGCCCGCGGCCAGCAACGAUUCCGCCGCCGGCAUUGACCGCGGCGCGCACACCGCGCGGACGCUGAACCCGCUCAACGCCGAUGCCUUCGCCGCGGCCGCUGCCCAAUUCGCGGGCGAAGUGGCAGGCUCCCACUACGGUGCCGGUUCUCCAUCUGCAUCGACAUGAGGUUAAACGUCAGGUUAAGAUAGCUGAUCAGAGGACAUUUAUCUUUGGUUUAACGUUGAGCACCGCUAUUGCACUGUUCACCACCAUGAAGGUGGAGAGUGUCAUGUCCGCCGAAGUCGCAGCUUGGGUAGGUGGAGGCAGCGCAAUUGCUUGGUUGUGUGUUAAUGGGGGAUCAAUGUCAAUUUGUAUGGCCAAAGCAUCUUUGAGCAGCGAGCAGCUCAAAACUUGAGUCGUCUUGGAAUGAUGGGUUUAGCGCUCCUCUAUCCAUGUACGCAUGGUUCUUCCCUCACCUCCUGGGGCUAUUCUGGACACUUGUGGCACUGGCUGCUGCACUUCAUGGUGUUAUGUGGCUUCUGAGCUGCUUCCGGCAUGAUGAUGAUAGCACCGUCAGAUUGAGCGAGGAGGACCUGUGCAUGUGCCCGCGGUGCAAACCUUCAUGCACCUGCUGCAGCAACCUUGGAUCCGGGGCUCAUGCUGUUGAGUCCGUGUGAGUGCCAAGACAGUCUGACAAUAUAUAUAGCUACAGGUGCUCGUUCAAAAAUAUGGACCGACUUGAUUACUUCUGUCCAUCCCAAUUACACUGACAUGAUUCCAAAUUCAACCGACAUGAUGGUUCUGUGGUGGUGUUCUGAACAUCAUGGGUGAGGAAUGACUUUCUGUUUCGUAAGAAUCGGCAAGAACCUAAGCAAGAAGUGUGCAAGGACUAACUUGGAUGCUUUUGUUCAGUCCAAAAUGACUGAUUGGCAUGAUUAGGUAUCUUCUCUAGUUGGAGAAUGUCAGUUUUCUUAUCAGAAUAGAGGGAAACUAUUCAAGGACUAGCUUGGUUGCAUUGGUUGACAUGAUGGACAACUAUUUGGCAUAUGACUAUUCAUUGUGGUCAGACUACACAUUUGUAUCUGUGUCUAUCCUGCAACUGUCCUCGCCAUUUUGAAUGUGCUAGUAAAGUAUGAAAAGAUCUCACUCUUUCACGUGUCACCUUUUUUUUUCGUUCUUUCGAAACCGUGUUCUGUGUCUCCUCUGCAUUAUGUCCGCCUCUAUCUACAGAAAAACAAACGGUUGCUUUGCUGAUUCCUGUGUGUACUACAAUGCUGUCUGUCUGUCAUCCAUCGCCGGGACCUGAACAUAGAUACCAACCCAAGGUCCAGAGUGGUAGUUCGUGUUUCUUUCUUUGCCUGCCUGCUUAUAUGCCGUUUCCAGUGGGCGCCGACGAUGCAAAUGGGCUCUCCGGCAGGAGUUCGAUCUGGUUGCUGCGAUCAGAAACCGAGUCAUAUGAUGAACAACGACGAACUGGCUCGAUAACACCAGUUGUUGUUGGCCUGUAUGGGAGGGGCCUGGCUCUGGCUGGUUGAGACGAUGUCAUCAAGUUGAUCAGCCGUGGAGAGGGGAUCCAUCGUCCGUCCCACUUCCUUGGAACCUGAAGACGAAACAUGAUCAUCAGAAAGAUAAGACACAGAGAGAAAAGACUUGGGAGUUGGCAGCAGCAACCGACCUGCGGAUUGGGACUGGGACUGUGAGUGGGAGUUGAAGGGCGCAACGUCCCCGAUGCUGCAAUCGAAGUAGGCGGCGCACUGCGGCUCUACCACCCGGAGCCCGGCGAGGUGCCUCCUCUCGAGCUCCAGCAGCUGCUGCCUGUCGCGCGCCAGUUGCCUCCUCUCCAGCCUUGGAGAAUCAUACUGGUCUGCUCCCACAGAUUAGUUCAUCAGGUACUGUUAGCUAACAAAUUUUGAUCCGGCCGGUGUUGAAACUGCAUUGUUGUUUGUAGGUACUAUAGUAGUACCUGGAUAGAACUCUGGAUCGGUCUCGAUCCAGCGUGGAGGGUAGCAAUGCGUCGUCGACUUGUUGUUGGUCCUGUCCACACCGCGCACAUGAAUUACUAAGUUGUAUC
Triticum aestivum (bread wheat) is the source of this 2346-nucleotide long non-coding RNA. RefSeq lists it as uncharacterized. The record is from RefSeq and is a predicted model, not a curated record. NCBI's taxonomy places the organism in Eukaryota, Viridiplantae, Streptophyta, Magnoliopsida, Poales, Poaceae. The transcript has 6 exons.